UACGUAGGGUCCGAGCGUUGUCCGGAAUUACUGGGCGUAAAGAGCUCGUAGGUGGUUUGUCGCGUUGUUCGUGAAAACUCACAGCUUAACUGUGGGCGUGCGGGCGAUACGGGCAGACUAGAGUACUGCAGGGGAGACUGGAAUUCCUGGUGUAGCGGUGGAAUGCGCAGAUAUCAGGAGGAACACCGGUGGCGAAGGCGGGUCUCUGGGCCGUUACUGACGCUGAGGAGCGAAAGCGUGGGGGAGCGAACAGG
RNAcentral lists this ribosomal RNA (254 nucleotides) under uncultured bacterium. RNAcentral describes it as "partial 16S ribosomal RNA". It matches the Rfam family "Bacterial small subunit ribosomal RNA", at positions 524 to 776 of the family's 1533-position model. The record is from RNAcentral.